AUUGAACGCUGGCGGCAGGCCUAACACAUGCAAGUCGAGCGGAUGAAGGGAGCUUGCUCCUGGAUUCAGCGGCGGGCGGGUGAGUAAUGCCUAGGAGUCUGCCUGGUAGUGGGGGAUAACGUCCGUAAACGGGCGAUAAUACCGUAUACUCCCAGAGUGAGAAAGUGGGGGAUCUUCGGACGAUUAGUUAUCGGAUCAGUCUAGGUCGGAAUAGCUAGUUGGUGGGGUAAAGGCCUACCAAGGGGACGAUCCGUAACUGGUCUGAGAGGAUGAUCAGUCACACUGGAACUGAGAAACGGUCCAGACUCCUACGGGAGGCAGCAGUGGGGAAUAUUGGACAAUGGGCGAAAGCCUGAUCCAGCCAUGCCGCGUGUGUGAAGAAGGUCUUCGGAUUGUAAAGCUCUUUAAGGCGGGAAGAAGGGCAGUAAGCUAAUACCGUGCUGUUUUGACGUUACCAGCAGAAUGAGCACCGGCUAACUACGUG
Molecule: ribosomal RNA, 484 nt
Filed under: uncultured bacterium
Lineage: Bacteria
Description: partial 16S ribosomal RNA
Rfam family: Bacterial small subunit ribosomal RNA
Source: RNAcentral